Molecule: non-coding RNA, 86 nt
Organism: Diplogelasinospora grovesii
Lineage: Eukaryota; Fungi; Ascomycota; Sordariomycetes; Sordariales; Diplogelasinosporaceae
Source: the annotation of a GenBank genome assembly
GGGAUAAUAGUAUAGUGGUCAGUACUUCUCGUUGUGGUUCAUCACCAACGACCGAGAGGACCCAGGUUCGAUUCCUGGUUAUCCCA